UACGGGGGGGGCAAGCGUUGUUCGGAAUUACUGGGCGUAAAGGGCGCGUAGGCGGCCUGUUAAGUCGAACGUGAAAUCCCCAGGCUCAACCUGGGAACUGCGUCCGAUACUGGCAGGCUUGAAUCCGGGAGAGGGAUGUGGAAUUCCAGGUGUAGCGGUGAAAUGCGUAGAUAUCUGGAGGAACACCGGUGGCGAAGGCGGCAUCCUGGACCGGUAUUGACGCUGAGGCGCGAAAGCCAGGGGAGCAAACGGG
RNAcentral lists this ribosomal RNA (253 nucleotides) under uncultured bacterium. RNAcentral describes it as "partial 16S ribosomal RNA". It matches the Rfam family "Bacterial small subunit ribosomal RNA", at positions 524 to 776 of the family's 1533-position model. The record is from RNAcentral.